UCUCAGCUCAUUAACACCGCCAGAUAAUUAACGUGCCUCCAUUGCACUGCUCAGCUCUCAAAGCUGCCCACAGCCUGCAGCAGUCCUUCAGAGAUUCUUCACAACUGUUCCCUAAACCUUUUAUUCUGCUGGUUCAAGGGGGCUGCAUCCUGAAUUUUGGCUUCAGUGGGGUACACUGAGGAGAAAAGAGGGGAAAAUAAGGAUUUUGAGACGGCUUCACCUCAGUUUCUUUCUCUGGUGGACCAGCAUUUGGUGGGAUUGUUGGUGUGCUGCUCAAUAGGAUCUUUUCCAGCUUGGCAUUAUUGAGGUCCUUUCUUAAAAGGAUCAUUUGCACCUCAGAACUUAGGGAAGGGAAACAAUUUCGGUGAAAAUCCUUCACACACUCCACUCUUAAACAUUUCAGGAGUUAUUUAGGAAAUCCGGUCUGUCCUCAAAUCUCCUUUUAAUUAGUUUAAAAGGUUUUUUUGGGUAACUAAAAAUAGACCAAAUGUUUGGUUUUAAUAAUUCACACAUGGACAGCAGGGUUUUUUCCCACUUGGGCAUAAAUUCUCCUGGCUCCAGGGCUCAGAAUUUGGGAAUUUGAUUAAUUGGCUUAUUUGAAUUGUGUAAUUUGUAGAAUUUCUGAUUUUGGUUCCACAAUAAACUCAUUAAAAAAUUAGAUUCUCAUCCCCUAAAUGUCCCUUCUGAGGGGGAUUUUGCUGGGUGGGCCCAGAGCUUUAAAAGCUGGAUAAAAGGUGCCUGAUAUUCCCCAUGUGAGCAGCACAGGAUCCAUUUUGUCUCUGCCUAUUUCCCUGGAAAAGCCUGCAGCAUCCUCACCCAUUUUGUGUUCCCACAUGCUGCAGCACAAUGAGAUAUUCCCUCCUAAAAGGGAGCAGAAAAUUCCAGCCGGGAAUGGCUGCAAAAAUACUCAUUUUGUGUGGAAAAGCACAUCUUCUACCUGCAAUUAAAGGAAUUAAGUUGUAAUUUCCAAUGCAUGACAGCUCCCAGCACUUCAAGAGCUCUGCUGUGAAAUUAUUCCCGAUUUAGAGCUGCAGAUACUCCAGAGCAAUGAUGCUGUUUGUUGUUAGAAGUGGGUAACUGGCACUGAAUUUCGAUGGCAGACAUCACAGGGGAUGGGCUGUGAGGGAGAAAUCCCCAAAAUUCUCUUUCCAGGCAGGAAUUCCGUGCUGCUCCCUCCAGUGGGGCUGGCAGAGGGCGCUGUGCCCCCAGCAAUGCCCAGCCUUGCAGCAACCCCAGGAUUUAUUAAACAUUCUCCUGCAUUUCCCUUGUGGGCACUGUCACCGGGCAAUAUUUUCAUUUAUCUGCAGAGAAUCCUCACAGCUCUCUCUGUGUGUUAAUUUAUCCACGUGGGAUCUCUGUUUGCAGUAUUUCUGUAUUUCCAGGGUUAUUUAUAUGGAUAAAUCCCAGAGCUGAGCCUGCUGGAAGUGCUGUGUAGGAUUCUCCAGGGAUUUUGUGGGUCAGCUUGAUUUUGGGGUGGGCUCCUGGCUCUGUGCCCAGCUCCUGCAGCCCCCCUUCACCCACACCCUCCAUUCCUCUGCCAGAUUACCUGCAGACCCCACUCAGCCUUUAAUCCUUUUAUUCAGAGCUGGGCUGAAAUUAAUUUUUGUGCAAAGCCAAUUAAGGGGAGCUGGGCAGCCACGUGCUCGUGGUGUUAACUGCAGCCUGAGCCCUGCCUGUGCUCCACCAUCUCCCCAGCCUGCAAACCACGGGAAUUUGGGCAUUUUUGCCCCUGCCCGCCCUGCUGCAGCUCCCCUGGGCUCUGCUGGAUGGACCUUCUGAGGGUUGGUUUGUGUGCAGCUGGGGUUGUCCCAGCUGAACCCCCCUGGUUUUGUCCUUGCUGGCCCCACAGCUUGUGUUCUGCACCCAGAGCUGCUGGAGGUUAUCAAUUUUCUGCCUGUGAUCAAGGGUCCUGUCAGGAAAAUGGAUCUGGGUGUCAGCCCAGGCUGUGAUUAAAGGGGGACAAAAUCCCAAAUUGCCCUGGCCACGUGACAGGGCUCCUCUUCCAGGUGUUGUUCCAGGGGAAAUUCUGCCUGGACACUUCAUUCCCUUAAUUUGGGGCUUCCCCUCGUAAUUAAAACCCUAAAAUCACCCAUUAAGGAGCUUUUAUCCCCCUGUGUUUAAGCAGGUUUUUCCCCAUGCAGAGGUGGGAAUUCCUUGUGGGGUUAACAAGAAGCCCAGCCCAGCCCAGGGAGCUUUCCUGGGGGACAGCAGUGGAGCAAGGUAGAUUUUAUUUUUGACAUUCCAGGUUGAUACCCUGGAAAUGAAACCCUCUUGAUGCAGAUCCUGUUGCCCAGAGAGCUUGAGAAUUCCCUGGAAGUGCCCAAAGCCAGGCUGGAUGGUGCUGAGCCCCAGCACGGGCUGGCACAGGGCUGGGGUGUCACACAGAGGGCUGGGACAGGGCUGGGGUGUCACACAGAGGGCUGGGGUGGCCCACAGAGGGCUGGGACAGGGCUGGCCUGUCACACAAACGGCUCCUGGCCACCUCCAGCUGCUCUGCCCUGCUUUGUUCCAGCCCCUGUGCAUCCUGCUUCCUCCAAAGGCAGUUGCUAUCGAUUUUUUUCCCUUUUUUUUUCCCCUCCCUUCCCAUUGUUCAGCUUUCUCUUGUUUUUCUCUCCCUUUUGGCUGGCGGGGUUGCCUGGCCACGGCUCCUAAAAUUUGGUUAAAUUCCUUUUUUUUGCUGUGGAGGCCCGUGGGUGUCAUUAACAGAGACACCCCCUGCGCUUCAUUAAUCCACCCCUCGUUAAUCCAAUAAAUUUAAAUAUCCUAACAUUUAAUAGGAAGUGGUGAUGGAUCCUAUAUCAAAAUGCAAAGAACUUAUCCUGAAAAAAAUCCUUCUUUUAAAAACAAUAAAAAUUAGAAGCUGUCAAUUUAAAGUGAGUGAGAAGCAACCCAGAAAUCCAUAGGUAAACAUGGAAUUCCAUGGAUCUGCUGUGACUGAGCAAACAAACCUGGAAAUUAGGGUGACUUUUUUUCCCCAUGAGUUCUUGGCAGGUUUUGAAGGGAUAUUUGACUUUUUUUGAGGUUUUUAGAGGUGAAUGGAAUCCCAUCCAUGCCUGGACACCGCGGUGUCCCCAAGGACACGGUUGAUGCCAUUGAUGCCAUUGGCAAUUGGUGAUGUUCUUGGCAGGUUUUGAAGGAAGAAGAAGAUUGGCAAUGCUCUUGGCAGGUUUUGAAGGAAGAAAGAGAACAUUGGUGAUGUUCUUGGCAGGUUUUGAAGACAUAUUUUGAGGUUUUACAGGUGAAUGGAAUCCUGUCCAUGCCUGGACACCACGGUGUCCCCAAGGACGCGGUCGAUGCCAUUGAUGCCGUUGGCAAUUGGUGAUGUUCUUGGCAGGUUCUUGGCCGGUUUUGAAGGAAUAUUUGACUUUUUUUGAGGUUUUUAGAGGUGAAUGGAAUCCCAUCCAUGCCUGGACACCGCGGUGUCCCCAAGGACACGGUUGAUGCCAUUGAUGCCAUUGGCAGUUGGUGAUGUUCUUGGCAGGUUCUUGGCAGGUUCUUAGCAGGUUUUGAAGGAAUAUUUGACUUUUUUUGAGGUUUUAGAGGUGAAUGGAAUCCUGUCCACCCCUGGACACCGCGGUGUCCCCAAGGACGCGGUCGGCGCCGUCGAUGCCGCGACGCCGCCG
Long non-coding RNA from Passer domesticus (house sparrow), 3623 nucleotides. RefSeq lists it as uncharacterized. The record is from RefSeq and is a predicted model, not a curated record. The transcript has 3 exons. NCBI's taxonomy places the organism in Eukaryota, Metazoa, Chordata, Aves, Passeriformes, Passeridae.